ACGUAGGGGGCGAGCGUUGUCCGGAUUUACUGGGCGUAAAGCGCACGCAGGCGGUCGGAUGAGUCGGAUGUGAAAGCCCUGGGCUUAACCUGGGAACUGCAUUCGAUACUGUCUGGCUAGAGUAUGGGAGAGGGAAGCGGAAUUUCCGGUGUAGCGGUGAAAUGCGUAGAUAUCACACGGAACGCCGGUGGUGAAAACGGGUCACUGGGCCUGUCCUGACGCUGAGACGCGAGAGCGUGGGGAGCAAACAG
RNAcentral lists this ribosomal RNA (251 nucleotides) under uncultured prokaryote. Its description in RNAcentral is "partial 16S ribosomal RNA". It matches the Rfam family "Bacterial small subunit ribosomal RNA", at positions 525 to 775 of the family's 1533-position model. The record is from RNAcentral.